Molecule: long non-coding RNA, 898 nt
Organism: Amphiprion ocellaris (clown anemonefish)
Lineage: Eukaryota; Metazoa; Chordata; Actinopteri; Pomacentridae
Exons: 3
Source: RefSeq, a predicted model, not a curated record
GCGGGACUACUUGAUUGACAGUCUGGUCUGGAAUGAUUGACAGGUCCUAUGGAGGAGGAAGCAGAGACUCUGUUCUCCUCGUUUGGAUUAAUUCUGAUAUAAUAACUGUUGGUUUAUUUAUCAGUGCCGUAGCAGAACAUUUUCCACAGACAGUUUUCCUGCCCGUUGGCUUGUUUUAACCAGUUUUCUGCCUUCAGGUGAUUCUACCAGGAGACAUUGAAAGGACUCUGAUAGUUCGAGUGAAAGUAGCAGUUCCUCCUUAAGGUCAGAGAUUGCAGCAUCUGAGGGCCUCAUCAAAAGAAGAUGUAGUUGAUGAAGGCGUUGUGGAGCAGGGCUAGAAAGACCACGACCAAGCAGCCUUGAGAUCUUAGGCAGCGUCUGCCUCAGUUUAAAGGUCCCUCUCUAUCUCCCCACACAUCCACCAACCACGAGAACACAUCUCCAAAGUUCUGCCAGGCCAGCUCAGCUUCCCCUCAGAAGAAGUGCUGCCACCUGCCAGAUGAAGGAGCCUUUUGAGAGGCAGCUGGCAUCGUGAUUGGACUGUACUUUGGUCUGUUCCAAUCCAGCUUCAGCUCCAGAGACGGCAGGCGGGACGAGUCAACGGAGGCCGGGUGGAUGAAGGCAUGAAGCUGAGUACAAUGCAGAAAACAACAGAGGAGGAGUGCAGCAGCCCAGGACCAGAACAACCAGAGUAGCAUCAUAUGUCUCUUAGAAAACAUCAUAGUAGAGCCUUUGGUAUGAAAAAACACCAUCAUAUACAUCGUAUAUUGUACAAAUAACAAGUCAAAGGAAAGAGACAUACAUUGUAGAAUUGUAGUAAUUGUGGGCUGACUGAUUUACUGAUUAUCGGUAUUUUAUUUUUUACUGAUUUACGGUAAUAAAUACAUUUAAAAAUGGC